This 467-nucleotide long non-coding RNA is filed under the name Homo sapiens (human). Its description in RNAcentral is "HSALNT0298773". Lineage: Eukaryota; Metazoa; Chordata; Mammalia; Primates; Hominidae. The record is from RNAcentral.
ACAGGCUGAAUCCCCCGCAGGCAGUAACCAUGGCUAGGGAAAAACAGGCAGCCGCGAGGACAGUUCCGGAGGAGACAACACCAGGCUCCCGUAGGGAAACUUUUGGGAAUGGAGAUGGGGGAUUCCAUCCUUUGCGUGCAGACCCAAGACUUCGAUGGUAGCUCGGACAAGUCUGUCAUUGUUUUUGUCCUGGGAAAUGACACACGAAGUGCUGUAAUUAGACACCUAAGAAACGAUUACUCUGGAGUGUGCGCGAACCGAAUCUGGGGGGCCGGUGGGGAGCAGGUAAGGGGCUGAAAGGCACCGUCUCCUCCAGCUCUGUCGGAAGCCUAAAGCCCUCUGCUUCUGGGCGCCCUUAACAAACGCGCCAGACAGGUGAUGUCUCCGAGGACGAGCAGGAGCCCCCCUUCGCGAUCUGCACCAGAAGCCUCGGGGAGCCGGGGCCACGGCGCGGCGGUGGCGCAGUU